This 731-nucleotide ribosomal RNA is filed under the name Allocryptovalsa xishuangbanica. RNAcentral's name for it is "partial large subunit ribosomal RNA". It matches the Rfam family "Eukaryotic large subunit ribosomal RNA", at positions 111 to 866 of the family's 3401-position model. Lineage: Eukaryota; Fungi; Ascomycota; Sordariomycetes; Xylariales; Diatrypaceae. The record is from RNAcentral.
AAAUUUGAAAUCUGGCCUUCUGGUCCGAAUUGUAAUUUGUAGAGGAUGCUUUGGGCGCGGUGCCUUCCGAGUUCCUUGGAACAGGACGCCUUAGAGGGUGAGAGCCCCGUACGGUUGGACACCAAGCCUAUGUAAAGCUCCUUCGACGAGUCGAGUAGUUUGGGAAUGCUGCUCUAAAUGGGAGGUAAAUUUCUUCUAAAGCUAAAUACCGGCCAGAGACCGAUAGCGCACAAGUAGAGUGAUCGAAAGAUGAAAAGUACUUUGAAAAGAGGGUUAAAUAGCACGUGAAAUUGUUGAAAGGGAAGCAUUUAUGACCAGACCUUUGCUAGGUGGAUCAUCCGGUGUUCUUCACCGGUGCACUUCGCCUAGCUUAGGCCAGCAUCGAUUUCUGUAGGGGGAUAAAGGUCUAGGGAACGUAGCUCUUUACGGAGAGUGUUAUAGCCCUAGGCGUAAUACCUUUACGGGGAUCGAGGUUCGCGCUUCGGCAAGGAUGCUGGCAUAAUGGUCAUCAAUGACCCGUCUUGAAACACGGACCAAGGAGUCGAACAUUUAUGCGAGUGUUUGGGUGUUAAACCCUCACGCGUAAUGAAAGUGAACGGAGGUGAGAGCCCUUAAGGGUGCAUCAUCGACCGAUCCUGAUGUCUUCGGAUGGAUUUGAGUAAGAGCAUAACUGUUCGGACCCGAAAGAUGGUGAACUAUGCGUGGAUAGGGUGAAGCCAGAGGAAACUCUG